RNAcentral lists this RNase P RNA (419 nucleotides) under Notoacmeibacter sp. RNAcentral describes it as "RNase P RNA component class A". It matches the Rfam family "Bacterial RNase P class A". Rfam says of the family: Ribonuclease P (RNase P) is a ubiquitous endoribonuclease, found in archaea, bacteria and eukarya as well as chloroplasts and mitochondria. Its best characterised activity is the generation of mature 5'-ends of tRNAs by cleaving the 5'-leader elements of precursor-tRNAs. Cellular RNase Ps are ribonucleoproteins. Lineage: Bacteria; Pseudomonadati; Pseudomonadota; Alphaproteobacteria; Hyphomicrobiales; Notoacmeibacteraceae. The record is from RNAcentral.
UCAGCCGGCCGGGCGGCCGCACCUGCAUGUGCCGAAAGGCCGCAGGUGAGGAAAGUCCGGGCUCCACGGAAACACGGUGCCGGGUAACGCCCGGCGGGGGCGACCCCAGGGAAAGUGCCACAGAAAGCAAACCGCCCCGCCACCGGUUUCGCCCCUUGCGGGCGCAAGCGGCGGCGGGGCAAGGGUGAAAGGGUGGGGUAAGAGCCCACCGCGGACGCAGCAAUGCGGACGGCACGGCAAACCACACCGGGAGCAAGACCGAAUAGGGAUGGCGCGGCGAAAGCCGGGGCGGUUUCCAGCCCCAGUCAUCCGGGUAGGUUGCGUGAGGCGUCCGGCAACGGGCACCCAAGAAGAAUGGCCGCCACGUUCGCCCUUCGGGGCGGGCCAUACAGAACCCGGCUUACAGGCCGGCUGACACC